AGAGUUUGAUCAUGGCUCAGAAUGAACGCUGGCGGCGUGCCUUACACAUGCAAGUCGGAUGUGUCGCAAGACACAUGGCAGACGGGUGAGUAACACGUGGGAAACUUACCUCUUAGUGGGGAAUAACGCUCCGAAAGGAGCGGUAAUACCGCAUGAGACCUAUCGCUGGGAUGCGAUAGAUGAAAGCUGGGGAUCGUAAGACCUAGCGCUGAGAGAGAGUCCUGCGUCUGAUUAGUUAGUUGGUGAGGUAACGGCUCACCAAGACUUCGAUCAGUAGCCGGCCUGAGAGGGCGAUCGGCCACACUGGAACUGAGACACGGUCCAGACUCCUACGGGAGGCAGCAGUGGGGAAUCUUGCGCAAUGGGCGAAAGCCUGACGCAGCAACGCCGCGUGGGUGAUGAAGGUCUUCGGAUUGUAAAACCCUGUCGUUAGGGACGAAGGCAUGAAUCCUAAUACGGUUCAUGUUUGACGGUACCUAGAAAGGAAGCCCCGGCUAACUCUGUGCCAGCAGCCGCGGUAAUACAGAGGGGGCAAGCGUUAUUCGGAAUUAUUGGGCGUAAAGCGCGCGCAGGCGGUGAAUGAAGUCGAAAGUGAAAGCCCCGAGCUCAACUCGGGAACUGCUUUCGAAACCAGUUCACUUGAAGGUGGAAGAGGGAAGUGGAAUUCCGAGUGUAGCGGUGGAAUGCGUAGAUAUUCGGAGGAACACCAGAGGCGAAGGCGACUUCCUGGUCCAAUCUUGACGCUGAGGCGCGAAAGCUAGGGGAGCAAACAGGAUUAGAUAUCCUGGUAGUCCUAUCUGUAAACGAUGGAUACUAGGUGUUGGAGGUUUUAACCCCUUCGGCGCCGCAGCUAACGCAUUAAGUAUCCCGCCUGGGGAGUACGGCCGCAAGGCUGAAACUCAAAGGAAUUGACGGGGCCCCGCACAAGCAGCGGAGCAUGCGGCUUAAUUCGACGCAACGCGAAGAACCUUACCAAGGCUUGA
RNAcentral lists this ribosomal RNA (983 nucleotides) under uncultured bacterium. RNAcentral describes it as "bacterial SSU rRNA". It matches the Rfam family "Bacterial small subunit ribosomal RNA", at positions 8 to 984 of the family's 1533-position model. The record is from RNAcentral.